GGGGAGAGCCCAGCACCGAAUCCCGCGGCCGCCUCGGUCGCCGGGAAAUGUGGUGUUAGGGAGGAUCCGCCAUCCCGAGGUCGCGCGACACGUCCAAGUCCUUGAACGGGGCCACUUACCCAUAGAUGGUGCCAGGCCCGUAGCGACCGCCGCCGGCAACGGGAGGAUCUUUCCUCAGAGAGUUACUUGACAGUGCAACCCUAAGUGGGUGGUAAACUCCAUCUAAGGCUAAAUAUGGNCACGAGACCAAUANCGUACAAGUACCGUGAGGGAAAAUUGAAAANAACUUUGAAAAGAGAGUUCAAUANUACGUGAANCCGUUCAGGGGUACACCUGAGAAACCCGAAAUGUNGAAUGCAGAGAUUCAGCGCGUCUCGUCUUAGCGUGCGAGCGGUGGUCGAGCGACGUANGGCGUUNGCGCCGAACACGCCUUCCGCCUUGCGCGGGGAACGCGUGCACUUCUCUGCUAGUAGGACGUCNCGACCUGUUGACAGUGGCGCGGGGUUGCGAUUAAUUUCGCGUCCGGCCCGUCGCAAGUGCGAACGGUAAUNUGGCGGUCGGACCUACCGCCGACUCCGGACCCGUUUGGCUGCUGGCGGCGGUGUCCUCGGACAGANUCCGUAAAUGGCGGUCGGNGACGAUUUAGCUUUGGGUACUUUCNNGAUCCGUCUUGAAACNCGGACUAAGGAGACUANCAUGUGCGCGAGUCAUUGGGACUUAACGAAACUUAAAGGCGUAAUGAAAGUGAAGGCCGCCUCGCGCGCGCCUAGGGAGGAUGCGCCGGGCUUAGGCCUGGCGCCGCACUCCCGGGGCGUCUCGUGCUCAUCGCGAGCUGAGGCGCACCCAGAGCGUACACGCUGGGACCCUAAAGA
Molecule: ribosomal RNA, 872 nt
Filed under: Quedius dilatatus
Lineage: Eukaryota; Metazoa; Arthropoda; Insecta; Coleoptera; Staphylinidae
Description: Velleius dilatatus partial 28S ribosomal RNA
Rfam family: Eukaryotic large subunit ribosomal RNA
Source: RNAcentral